RNAcentral lists this long non-coding RNA (664 nucleotides) under Daucus carota (carrot). Its description in RNAcentral is "long non-coding RNA (DCAR_LNC000397)". The record is from RNAcentral. Lineage: Eukaryota; Viridiplantae; Streptophyta; Magnoliopsida; Apiales; Apiaceae.
UUCUUGAUUGGUCAAUGCUUUGACCUGAUUCAAAAGAACAGAAAAAUGAUAAAUUUAGGCUCCAUAUCAUAUUUCAACACUGUAAUUAAUAAAAUAGCUUGUUGAGGAGAGAUUAUCAAAGGAAUGAGGAUUGGGGUUGAUCCAAUUCUUGUUCUUAGUGGACUUGGGGGUCUGCUAUUUAUAAACAAAAGCCAUAUAUAGUAAAGCCAAUUUACCUUUUGCACCAAAUAACCCUACCUGUGGGAAAAGUGCUUGGACAGCAAGGUUUGAAGCAUUCUGUAAGGGUUAGGGAAACAGGAUUUAGAGAAGUUGCUGCUUAUAUUCUUGACUAUAUAUGACCACCUUGCAAUUGCACUGGUGAAGAUCCAGACAGACAUGCAGGGAACUGAAUUAAAGUUGUUGGAAAGUUUGGUGAAGCGGAAAUAGUUCCAAUUGAUCAUGGACUCUGUCUGCCAGAUAGUUUAGAGGGUCGGUAUUUUGAAUGCAUUCACUGGCCCCAAGCUUUUAUUCCCUUUUCUAAAGAAGAACUUGAGUGUAUAGAGAAGCUAGAUCCAUUUAAGGAUUCUAGAAUGCCGCGAAGAGAACUUCCCAUGAUUCCCAAGCGCUGCAAACUAAUUUUCAGGCCAGUAAUUUCAUCUUUGUAGAUGCACUGCACAAGAACACG